This is a non-coding RNA of Camelina sativa (false flax), 449 nucleotides long. NCBI's taxonomy places the organism in Eukaryota, Viridiplantae, Streptophyta, Magnoliopsida, Brassicales, Brassicaceae. The record is from RefSeq and is a predicted model, not a curated record.
GCCAUCUAGAAUCAUCUCUCUCUCUCUCUUUCUCUAUCUUACUUGAGUCCUAAAUACAUGGUUUCAUCUUCAUCAUGGCUGCGGUGGUAUUAUUUCUGGAUGGUUCGUGAAUAUGCUAAGCUUCGGUCCGAUCUAUCAACGCUCUCAGAGAUCGGGUGCUAGCAACUAAAGGUCUCGCCCUGAUCAAUUUACGUCACCGUUCUCGGGUCUGGGGUCCGGUUCAAGUUGGAUCUUUAAUUUUUAUAUGGAUCUUCAAACUCUUCUCUAAAACAAAUCUAUGGUGUUGCAAUAUACAAUAAACUGGUGAAGUGAAGGGGGUUGGUUUCCUCUGUUUCCAUAAUUUUGAUUGAGGUACGUUUGACUCUCUCACCAAUUCUCUACUUAAACUACUACUGAUGAUUUCUCUAAUCAGUAGGAUGAACUAUGUAUCUAUAUUGUUUCGAUUUUUU